Molecule: non-coding RNA, 406 nt
Organism: Pelobates cultripes (western spadefoot toad)
Lineage: Eukaryota; Metazoa; Chordata; Amphibia; Anura; Pelobatidae
Source: the annotation of a GenBank genome assembly
GUGUGUCUUGUUCAGUGGUGGUCGUCUUUCAGCCUUUCUUACCUUGGCCAUGUCUCUGAGUAUUGCACACCUUGUGCUUUUGGGCACUCCAGUGAUGUUGCAGCUCUGAUAUAUGGCCAAACUGGUGGCAAGUGGCAUCGUGGCAGCUGCACGCUUGACUUUUCUCAGUUCAUGGGCAGUUAUUUUGCGCCUUGGUUUUUCCACACGCUUCUUGCGACCCUGUUGACUAUUUUGAAUGAAACGCUUGAUUGUUCGAUGAUCACGCUUCAGAAGCUUUGCAAUUUUAUGAGUGCUGCAUCCCUCUGCAAGAUAUCUCACUAUUUUUGACUUUUCUGAGCCUGUCAAGUCCUUCUUUUGACCCAUUUUGCCAAAGGAAAGGAAGUUGCCUAAUAAUUAUGCACACCUG